CAGGAAGAUUGGUUCCACUCUGUAAGGGGUGCAACAUGGAGGAGAGAAUACUGCCUCUAUUCCCUUCACAAGGUAAUUGUGACAGCAACAAGAAAGGCUUGAGAAGUUCCUCCAAAGAAGUACUCCAAGGAAUACAGAGUUCUGGGCUGCCUAACAUCUUCUGGUACCAUGAGAGCUAGAACCCGGGAGGAGGCUUCCAGGAGGUUCUGGAGUGAUUCUGUUUAGUUCUGGAGAAACUAGAAAGAUUCAAGUGAAGUUUGUGCGUUCCCAGUCAGCAAGCUAGUUUUGUGGAGAUGAGCGAUUUGAAACAUCUGCAUGGACCAGAAAAGAAGCAGAAAAGUUUCCCCAAAAUUGACUGCCUGGCCAGCAAGCUCCGGUGAUUCUCCUGGCUCUACAUCUAAAAUGGGAUUACAGGUACACACCACACCAGGCUUAACUUUUCAUGCCUAUAUUGGAACCUAUGUCUAUACUCAUAUUUGCAGGCAAAUGCAUUACUGACUGAGACAUCUCCCUAGAACCCAAGUCAGAGAGUUUGAAGAAUCUUCUUCCUAAAUAGGACUUAGAAUCAAAACAUUAUAAAUUUAUUUAUAAAAUGAGUAUAAACACACUUUUCCCAUUUUUUAAAUUGGAAAUAUCUCAAAGGUGAUGUUAUCAUGAAGAGUCAUAAAUAGUAAGUUAAGCAAAAGACAGUGGACACAACACUUUGCUGAACUGGCAGUGGAAUAGAGGGCAAAGACAAGCUUCUUUUUUGUUUUUUAACUUCAAUUAAUAUCUUUGGGAGCAAGCAGCACAUUAAUACAUCUUGAAUUGAUGCUAUAUUAGGCAAUGCAGUAAACAUAGAUAAUGACUUAGAAACUACUUCCCUGAAACUUGAAAAGGUUACAAAUAUGGACUCAAAUCAAAAUGAGAUUAAACUGGAGAGAAAGUAAACUCGUACAUCUGGGAAGAAAUUGAAUCGGCUUCGAGGUCCUCCUGAGAAAUCUGGUGGAAGAUCUGGAGCAAGCGAGGAAGCUAAAUCAAACGAAAUUUACAAUAUAAUGUUUGAGCGAAAAAGUCAGUGUGGUGGGAGCUGCAAAGAGGAGAAAUCUUACAAA
RNAcentral lists this long non-coding RNA (1094 nucleotides) under Mus musculus (house mouse). Its description in RNAcentral is "predicted gene, 36903". Lineage: Eukaryota; Metazoa; Chordata; Mammalia; Rodentia; Muridae. The record is from RNAcentral.